CUCCCAUAAGACUGUGACUCUGUACAACAAUUUUGUGUUUGAUCCUUGUGUAGGAACAGUCCUUUUGAACGACAGCAUCUUUAGCAGACGAUUUAAUGCAGCGAUUUUUUAAAGCAAAGAAACUAACUGAAAUGAUGUUGAGGUAUGAUGCUGUGCUGUCAGAGCUGCCAUGGAAAUUGCUGGCGCCUAGGGGGACAGGUCUUAAUGAGUCCUGAUGAGAGAUGGUUGUACCAAGUCCACAGCUGAAGAUCCUUUCCUGAAG
Molecule: long non-coding RNA, 262 nt
Filed under: Anser brachyrhynchus (Pink-footed goose)
Lineage: Eukaryota; Metazoa; Chordata; Aves; Anseriformes; Anatidae
Description: lncRNA (ENSABRG00000011705.1)
Source: RNAcentral